AAAAAGGAGGUGGAUCAGUGGCCCUUUGACAUAAUGAUUUGUUAGUUCCAAGGACAAAUGGCCGCCACACAGCCACUUUAUUAAAGGAAAAAAGUAAUCUUCCAAUGAAAUAUGUUAAAAGAAAAACGUCUGAUUCCAUAAAGUGAAUGCACUGCGAGGUGCUGCAGGAGGACCCCAGAUACCGCUUGCACCACCCUCUUAGUUUGGAUCCUGAAGGCUUUGAUGCAGCUGACAGGAUGACGUCACACAAAGACCCUCCUACCUGCAGCUCCUCACAUCGACCAUGUGAGGCCGUUUCUGUCAGACAGCAUGGAUACGAUCACCAAUAAACCAGGCCUCCUCAGAUGGUUCCUCUGCUUGCUGUGGACUGCAGGUCUGACAGGCGGCAGCGACGUCGUCCAGACUUCGAUGCUCUGGGAAGUCGAGGGUGUUGAUGCAACAAUGAACUGCACACACACCAAGGGACCUGGGUUCUUCCAGAUGUACUGGUACAGACAGCUGCCAGGAGAAACCAUGAAGCAGAUCGUGUACACGUCCUCCGCCAGCGCGGAUCACGAUUUUGGAAAUUUCAGCAAAGACAAAUUUUUCCGCCACCAAGCUGGACGCCGCCAGCGGGACGCUGACGGUGAAGAAGCUGCAGCAGGGAGACAAAGGCUGGUACUUCUGUGCAGUGAGUGAACACAGUGACGCAGGGGCCCUCGACGGCUGAACAAAAACCCCCCGGUGCUCUGUUCUCACGUGCUGUAGGGGGACCUCGAGGAACACGAACGCUCCCCGUGGUACGAUGGGGAGGACUGAACGUGUGACCCCCCCCCCGCCUGCAGCUGCAGCUGUUUAGAUCUCAAACCACACUGACAGUUGUAUCAGACCUCCUGCAGUCACUGAAUGACUGAACACGGACGCCAUCAUGACGCGGCCUCCUGAGGCUCAAGCCUUUAACACUCCUCUGAUCUGGGGGGUCAAGGGUCAGACCGUCACAAAGGAUGGAAGUCACCCGAUGUAGUUAUAAUUUAUUUAAUUCAAUUUUAAAAAGUCUUUAAUCAUCGAUCUCCAGAAAACAACACCUUUAAUUUGAAUUUAGUUUCAACAGAAAAUGAAAAUCAAUGUGAAAACAGAAGAAAGUCCUCACAUUCCACAUCGGUGGUAUCAAUGUGUGGCCUUUUAUCUGUUGAUCAACUCGUUGAUGAAAUAAGAGAUGAAUCUUUCCUCCAUCAUCAGACCCUCCUCCAUGCCUCCUCCCCUCUGAGGAGAUCCUGCACCUCCUCCUCAGUCCGGCAGUCGAUGCAGAGACUGAGGAAGGUAACGACGUCAU
This is a non-coding RNA of Gasterosteus aculeatus aculeatus (three-spined stickleback), 1312 nucleotides long. The record is from the annotation of a RefSeq genome assembly. NCBI's taxonomy places the organism in Eukaryota, Metazoa, Chordata, Actinopteri, Perciformes, Gasterosteidae.